GAUGAACGCUGGCGGCGUGCCUAAUACAUGCCAGUCGAGCGAACAGACGAGGAGCUUGCUCCUCUGACGUUAGCGGCGGACGGGUGAGUAACACGUGGAUAACCUGCCUAUAAGACUGGGAUAACUUCGGGAAACCGGAGCUAAUACCGGAUAAUAUAUUGAACCGCAUGGUUCAAUAGUGAAAGACGGUUUUGCUGUCACUUAUAGAUGGAUCCGCGCCGCAUUAGCUAGUUGGUAAGGUAACGGCUUACCAAGGCAACGAUGCGUAGCCGACCUGAGAGGGUGAUCGGCCACACUGGAACUGAGACACGGUCCAGACUCCUACGGGAGGCAGCAGUAGGGAAUCUUCCGCAAUGGGCGAAAGCCUGACGGAGCAACGCCGCGUGAGUGAUGAAGGUCUUCGGAUCGUAAAACUCUGUUAUUAGGGAAGAACAAAUGUGUAAGUAACUAUGCACGUCUUGACGGUACCUAAUCAGAAAGCCACGGCUAACUACGUG
RNAcentral lists this ribosomal RNA (497 nucleotides) under uncultured bacterium. Its description in RNAcentral is "partial 16S ribosomal RNA". It matches the Rfam family "Bacterial small subunit ribosomal RNA", at positions 28 to 507 of the family's 1533-position model. The record is from RNAcentral.